GAGAGAGAGAGAGAGAGAGAGAGAGAGAGAGAGAGAGAGAGAGAGUUGACCAAAUUCGACGUAUGCAUGCACAAGGUGUUACUUAAGACUACCGGAGACGUCGGUAUCCUUUCUCCACCUUGUACAUAUAUACUCCGGCAUUAUGCAUAUGUAUUUUAUUCUAAUUGAUUGUACGCGUAAGGAAAAACGGAGGGACAGAGAAAAAAAUGUUUAAUGCUUGUUUACUGUAAUGAUAGUAUUUGCCGAUUCUCGCUUCUUUGUUGCGACUCAGCCUUCGUAAUAGUGGAGCGAAUGAAUGAGCAAUUUUCGAUUUGACGAAGAGAAGAAGAUUGCUUGCAGAUGGAGAGAUGAGGAUUUAAACGUAAAACGUUACCGUUUAUGCUAAGUUCGAGGAAACCUGCACUCUGAAUACAUAUAUAGUGGCUGUCCGACGACUACCGCAUUAUUUGUUCAAUGAUAGAUAUCAGUUCGACGUGUCCGAACGUGAAGUCGUAGAAACCUGUCGUUGAAGGAUAAUUCUGUAAUCGGUGGACGCACAUCCUGUACACAAUGCCUUCCUUCGAUCGACCAAUGAAGUGUACACACAGCUCAAGUAUUCGUCGACGACAAAUUCUUGCUUGCAGCCAAGCUAGGAACAUAUGUGCCAUCGUUUUCGUGCAGUAAUAAGGACAGACUUAAAACUUAGGACACUUUCUUACAAGACUGUAUUUUUAACUCCAGAGCGACUAAGUCCGUACGGAUCUAAGAACCUGAACCUGAGCUUCGGCCGAGCCGAGAAUCUAGACUUUCUCAACCAGUGUCGAUACCCCGAGGACAUACCUAGGUCUAAAAAGAGUCGAUAAAAAUUCAGACUUCAUUCAUUGUGAGGAUCCGAGGAUCUAGGAGUGGCUGCAAGGCUCUAAGAAAUCCGAGGAUCUAAGGAUCUCAGUGCGAUCCCUAAACGUACCUUAGGAGUCUAAGCUAUGAAGGUUCUACGAACUUUGAAAUUUCCCGUAGUUCUAAACAUUUUUAAACGAGUUCUAAAACGAUAAUUCGAUCAUUGUGGUGCUUAGAUACGUCCCGGUAGCAUAGAAGGAUAUAAAAGCGACGAAGAGAUGAGGCAACUCGAAGCAAACCACGAAUUUUUUUAUACAUAACAUUAAACCGUGCGAAAACUUGAUGCAAAUGAAAGAAGUAAGAAUCUCACAAAUUCACGAUUGAAGGGCUCGUCGACAUGCUAAGUGCGGGAUCGAUAAUAGCUUGUCCUUGUUUGUCGGUUUGUAACCAAACGAUUUUGAUGAAAGAAACUUAAGUGUGAAAGCAGUCUUCAAGCGGCGAAAGUCUUGCGUUUGUAUAACGGAUGUUUGUUGAAGAAUCGUCUUCACGUUAGACAUAAUUUUCCAGUCAUCGUCAUUGCGCACGAGGAUUGCUCCUCGGAUCUGGGGAACGUUUUAGCAUGGCACUGCCCAGAGCCCUUCAAUUCCGAAGUCCAUCGUGGCAAAAUGUUGCCAAGGCGAAAAUUGCGAGAUGCGUUUACUGCGAACGCCUACGUUGAGGAAUUACUGCGAAACACAGACGGAUUGUUUCUCCCUUUACUUGCGUUUCUACGAUGAACAGCACAAAUCUGUCUGCGUCCAAGCCAAAGAGAUACCCCGACGAUACGAUGUUGCGACACGCUACGUUAAAACAAGUAUAAAAUAACGAGUAUAUAAUGAGGAUUUCUAUAUUACGGGUGUUCCGAAAGAAAAGCGCAGUCUUCGUAGAACUUAUAUAUUGUUUUCUUUUUUUCUUUUUUUUUUUUUCAAGAUCCUUUAUCCAUCCAAGAUGUGACGAACAUCGAGAAUGUUUCUAACAUCGUAAAUGUUAAAAAAAACGAUCGUUCAACUGAUCGAAGCUCGUGAAUCUUUCGGAAUGUCCCGAACAUACGAAAGAUGUAAUUGUUUCUUAUGUAAUUUAAUUACAUUUAUAAUUACGCGAUACAGGUAGAAUUAUAUAUGUUGCAAUCCUGUUCGGUUUGUAGAUUUUUUAAUUAUUACCGAUGCAUCAGUUAUAUUUGAUCCGCGAAUGGCGUGUAAUAGAGAAGAUAAAAAAAGAAAAAAGAAACAGGAACAAGAUUGUAUAGAAUACAAAUUAAUAUCUGUGAUUAUCGUCGAUGCAGAUAUAUUUUAAGUAAUUUCUACAGCGCGUUUUCGGGCAUAUUUGUAAGAAAGAAAGAAAGAAAAGAAAAAACAAUAACGAUAAUGUAACAAUGUACGGCGAUAAUACUUUUAGAAGUCGAUUGUUGAGAUAAGAUUUAUCUGUGUUUGUGUUGGAUGCAUAUUGUCAUGCCGCGUGGUGAUGAGGUUAAUUAAUUACCCAUUAAUAUAACGAAGAUAAUUAGGAUAACUAAUAUAGUGCGAAUACACUAUUAUUAAUUGUUUCAAAAGAAAAAGUAAAAAGAUAAAAAAAGAGGAAAAUCAUACGAGAGAAUGAAUGUGUUUGCGGAAUCCUUUUUGUUGUUGUAUAUUAUAGAUACGUCGCAUUAUACACGAUCAUUUUCAAUAAACAUAUUCUAUAAAUUAUAACUAUU
RNAcentral lists this long non-coding RNA (2548 nucleotides) under Harpegnathos saltator (Jerdon's jumping ant). RNAcentral describes it as "uncharacterized LOC109504019". The record is from RNAcentral. Lineage: Eukaryota; Metazoa; Arthropoda; Insecta; Hymenoptera; Formicidae.